RNAcentral lists this ribosomal RNA (164 nucleotides) under Draba boyacana. Its description in RNAcentral is "5.8S ribosomal RNA". The stretch from base 1 to 137 matches the Rfam family "5.8S ribosomal RNA", at positions 20 to 154 of the family's 154-position model. From Rfam's summary of the family: 5.8S ribosomal RNA (5.8S rRNA) is a component of the large subunit of the eukaryotic ribosome. It is transcribed by RNA polymerase I as part of the 45S precursor that also contains 18S and 28S rRNA. Functionally, it is thought that 5.8S rRNA may be involved in ribosome translocation. Lineage: Eukaryota; Viridiplantae; Streptophyta; Magnoliopsida; Brassicales; Brassicaceae. The record is from RNAcentral.
CUCGGCUCUCGCAUCGAUGAAGAACGUAGCGAAAUGCGAUACUUGGUGUGAAUUGCAGAAUCCCGUGAACCAUCGAGUCUUUGAACGCAAGUUGCGCCCCAAGCCUUCAGGCCGAGGGCACGUCUGCCUGGGUGUCACAAAUCGUCGUCCCCAUCUUUUUCGGA